ACGGAGGAUGCGAGCGUUAUCCGGAUUCAUUGGGCUUAAAGGGUGCGUAGGCGGACUAUUAAGUCAGAGGUGAAAUCCUUCGGCUUAACCGCAGAACUGCCAUUGAUACUGCGACUCUUGAGUGACGGAGAGGGUGGCGGAAUUACUGGUGUAGGGGUGAAAUCCGUAGAUAUCUGGAGGAACACCAGGAGCGAAGGGGGCCACCUGGCCGGCAACUCCCGCUGAGGUGCGAAAGCGUGUGGAUCAAGCAG
This 251-nucleotide ribosomal RNA is filed under the name uncultured prokaryote. RNAcentral describes it as "partial 16S rRNA". It matches the Rfam family "Bacterial small subunit ribosomal RNA", at positions 525 to 775 of the family's 1533-position model. The record is from RNAcentral.